UACGUUGACAAAAUUAUUCCUCAUUAAUUUUUAAUAAAACUCUAACACUUCUUUACUCUUUUUUAUCAAGAGGUAGUUUAGUAAAAAAUAUUAUACAAAUAUCAUCCAUCCUCUCUUUCAUUUCUCCUAUAUCAAAUAUAGGAGAAUAUCAUUCCCAUCCAUCAUUUUGUGUAUAUUUGGUGAAACAUGAAAGGAUGAAUGAAAGACUCAUCCAUCCUCUCUUUUAUUUUUAUUUUCUAUCCAUUCUUUGUCUAAUCCAUUCUUUGUACCAAACAGAGGAUAUGUUCCAACAUUCAAAACAAGUAUAUUUGCUUUUGCCACACUAGAGCACAUGU
This 335-nucleotide long non-coding RNA is filed under the name Phoenix dactylifera (date palm). Its description in RNAcentral is "long non-coding RNA (PDAC_LNC015447)". The record is from RNAcentral. Lineage: Eukaryota; Viridiplantae; Streptophyta; Magnoliopsida; Arecales; Arecaceae.